UGGGGAAUAUUGCGCAAUGGGCGAAAGCCUGACGCAGCGACGCCGCGUGAGGGAUGAAGGUCUUCGGAUCGUAAACCUCUGUCAGCAGGGAAGAAAGUUAUGCGUGCUAAUCAGCGUGUAAUUGACGGUAUCUAACCAGAAAGCCACGGCUAACUACGUGCCAGCAGCCGCGGUAAUACGUAGGUGGCAAGCGUUGUCCGGAUUUAUUGGGCGUAAAGCGAGCGCAGGCGGUCUUUUAAGUCUGAUGUGAAAGCCCCCGGCUUAACCGGGGAGGGUCAUUGGAAACUGGGAGACUUGAGUGCAGAAGAGGAAAGCGGAAUUCCAUGUGUAGCGGUGAAAUUGCGUAGAUAUAUGGAGGAACACCAGUGGCGAAGGCGGCUUUCUGGUCUGUAACUGACGCUGAGGCUCGAAAGCGUGGGGAGCAAAGCAGGAUUAGAUACCC
Molecule: ribosomal RNA, 442 nt
Filed under: uncultured bacterium
Lineage: Bacteria
Description: bacterial SSU rRNA
Rfam family: Bacterial small subunit ribosomal RNA
Source: RNAcentral